RNA transcript from Anarrhichthys ocellatus (wolf-eel), 5729 nucleotides. It is a transcript of the gene named KIAA0753 ortholog, with no coding region annotated. The transcript is spliced from 17 exons. The record is from RefSeq and is a predicted model, not a curated record. Lineage: Eukaryota; Metazoa; Chordata; Actinopteri; Perciformes; Anarhichadidae.
UGUUAUUGUCAUGGCGGCGUUUCAAACACUUGACAAGCUUGGAUUAAAAUUUAAACAGUUAACCAUGUUCCAUAUUUUAGUUUACUUCCAGUUAGCGUUAGUUAGGUGCAUAGUUAAUUUAUAAUUUCUGUAUAAACUGAAAAAGUCAAUACAAGCGAUGGUCGAAUGGAUUAUGUUGGGAUUAAUUUAAUGUUUGCAAACUUGAAUUCAAAAGCGUAGUUAGCUUGCUAAUGCUAACUCAUUUGCAUUAAGUAUUGUUAGCUAUUUCUGACAGAGCUCGGCGGUUGUUCUCACUGUAAUGACUGCACAGUUCCUGCAGAGUGGCCCCACGACUUCUGAAGGACAGCAGAGUCGAGGGAGAACCUGGGUUGUUUCAGGUCCAACCCGAAGCGUUCACAACCGCAGCGGUUUAACUACUGCCAUGUCCCAAACCAAGCUCCUGUUCAAUGAAGCCUUCCCUGCAAGUACCAGCAACCGUGCCACCCAUGUAUACCCGCCAGCCCCCAUCGUGAUAGAGAGGCUGCUGCUGCCGCCGCCGUCAGAGGAGCGUGAGAACGUGGAAAGCGCCAUAAGCUCCAUCAGCUUCACCACUCUGUCAGAGGAGAGACUGCGGGCUGCGGUGCGGCUGGCCAAGCGAGAUAUGAGAAGAAGGCGCCUUGAGUCACUGACAAAAUCCCCUGCCAAACCCUCGCAGGAGGCCUCCGUCCAUGAAACAAGUGAUGUAGAGCUGCUCCAGGAGCUUACCGCCACUCCGAAUAAGGCCAAGUUUAAGACCUCCAGUCCAAAAAAGAACUCAACCCGAUUUGGAGCCAAAUUGUCAGCAAACAAACCCCAGAAGCGUCCCAUUGGUGCCAUGUCUCGGAUUGGCCAGUCACCUCCAACCAGAGACCCCGGCCCCAGGCAAUUUGAAGGAGGCAAACGUGCACCUUUAAGCCAGGAGAUUGACAAGCUGCAAAAUGAGCUGGACGUGUAUAUUCAGAAAGUAGAAGCGCUCUCCAACAGAGGGGGGGAAAUAGAGGAGCCACUGGAGCCCGAAGAGCAAAACAAGUUGGAGAUGCGCAGGCAGAAGCAGGCAGGCCGCUCAGCACGUCUCAUCUAUGUUCUCCAGCAGCAGGUCAAAGAGAUACAGGAAGAUGUGGAGAAACUACGAAGCCAGAACAUGUGGGACACCAAAAAGGCCACGACAGUAAACAGGCUUGCAGCUGCGCACCGUGGGACACUCAGGGUCUUGCAGUCUGUUGUCAACCAGCUUUCAGAUCUCUCUCACGGCAAGGUACCCGCUUAUUACAAAGAGCUGAGCCAGCUGAUUCGCCAGCUCUCUCUGUGCUCAGCUAAGGUUGAAGCAGAGCAGGGUUCAGAGACGGCCUUCGACAUCCUGCAGAAACUAGAGACGUUGGAUUCUGCCCUCCAUAAGCAAGAGCUGCUCGAAAAGAUGCAGGCCCAAGCACGUCCUCUACACAGGAAGUCUCCUCAUCACAGCACGUCGCCUACAAGUGCACCCAAGGGUCCCAGCACCUCAACUGUUCGAGGUCCUCGCAAACCAGCAAAUCCCAAAAGAGCAGUCCGAGGUAGGAGAAUGGCCUCACAGAAGCCCAAAGCUGCUCCUCACCAGCUCCUGAACAGACGAGAGGUGCUCAGGGCUGGCCUGCAGAGCCUCGCCCAGAGAGAGCUGCAGGGACGACCUCAGACAAACACCGCCUGCAGAAAAGGAGGGGCUCUACACUCUGGGAGAAGCAAGGCUGGCAUUAGAAUUAAGUGUAAUCAGAUGCAAGAAGCAGGUUUCCAGCAGCCUACAGUCUCCUCUCAGCUCAGAGUGAACCAGCUCCCUCAAAAAGAGCGCUCUGUGCCCUGGAUACCCACAUCGCCUCACUCCCCUCCUCCACAGCGAUCCCCUCAAAGGAGAAGACCAGAGCCUCGAUGUCUCUUUUCUCCCAUGAAGCCCUCGUCCAGCCCUCCUCGGCAGGCGGUGAACGGUGAAGCAGAGCCGGCCCUGAGCUCCGAAAAGAAGACACAAGCUCAGAAUGAAGCAUUAAGGAAAGCCUGGCUGGAUAAGAUGAUGACGCAGAGACUGAAGGAGCUCAACCAGCUGAGCAAAGAAGAGGCUCAACGCAUUCAGACACUACGGUACAGAAGAAGUAUAAUCACAGAUUCAGCAGAAUCUGAGGGGAUGUCAGAAGUUGUCUCGCCAACUCAGUGGGCUGAGAGAACUGAGCAGAAGGCCAGAGAAGGAAUUCAGCCGCUUCUGGAUGAAGCUCAGCAGAUCGGUGAGUCCAGGACGAGGAUCAGCCCCGCGCCGAGGAUCCGGCUGUCUGAGCAGGCGGCAGAGACGGCAGCAGGGAGUGCUGAGCAGCUGAGUGAGGCGCUGCUGGAGGAUCUGCUGGAGGACACUGCGCGGGCAGCGUGGGCGGCUCAGACAGACGGACAGUUUGAGGGCAUGGCCCGGCGUAGGCUGCGGGCCCCCACCCUGGAGAGUAUGCUGCUUCGUAUGGAGGAGAUACAGAGAGACCAGGAAGAAGUGAGGAGACGGUUUGCUUCCAUCACCUACUCGGACCCUCUUUACUGGGACAGACCAGGAGCAGCAGGACCCCAGUGCCAUGCUCCGUGCUCCAGGCCAGCCUCUCCUCAGCCAAUUAGGCUCACGAGGCCGGUGCCGGGGCAGAGCUCUGCAGUUGAUAUUGUCCUGGAGAAGCCUGUGGAGACCGGGUGGGUUGCUACGUCCUUUUUUUAUUUUUUUUAUUUACAAUCAUACAACACAUCAUUUCUACCUCUCUUUUGCUGAUGGCUUCCUCUCCUUAAUGUUUUAUUCAUCUUCAAGAGGAAGUAGGGACAUUUUGGAGUGUUCCCAGAAUAUUAACUGGAGUGCAGUAUCAAGGUUUGACCUAUUUAAUCUUCUGAGCUGAAAUUAAAGGUCUAAUCCCCCAUUUUAAGUAGCCGGUGCUCCCAACACAAUACUAACGAUUAAAUGACAUUAUGACCAUCUGUUUGGACAAAAUAUUAAACAUUAAAAAUCUAGUUAAUUACAGUUCAGGACUUCUGUUGCUAAGAACUACAGCAGCCUCAUCCACAGGAAGUCAUUCACCAUUGGUUUAAUUAGGCCUCUCAACUUAAUGAAAAGUAAAGUGGUUAAUGUUUUUCCAACGAUGCUCAGCGAGUGUUUUGUUUUUUUCCACAUGAUGUGUCGUUGCCCUAUCAUCACUCUCCCACCGGGAGGCCUUAGUCAUCCUGCAAACAGUCACUUGGUGGCUGCCGUACCCAGGGCAGCGUCUAUUCCUGACUCGGGCUACAGACUCCACAGAGAGACCCUCCACUGCCCAGGGCUUUGGCUGCAGCUGCUCUUCUGCUUAAAUUAAUGAGAAACUUGGAAGGAGGAGAAAAAGAGAGCGUAAGGGCUGGAAGUUGUUGACACAGACAAGCCAGCCAGGAUGGCGCUUUUAACAAAUUCAAGCAGCAGCGUUAGCCAAAUUAAGUCCGUGGCCUCGGGUUCCGUUCCCUCGUCGGAUACUUUACCCCAACAUCCACUGUGACUCAUCGUAGACACUAUCUUCAUAGCGCAUCCAUCAAGUAAUGGCUCUAUCGCUUUUUUGUCUUUUUGAGGAGGUGUUUUAAGUCUUUACUUCCUUCAAAGGUAUCCAGCCUUGCAGCUUCUCAACAGGGACAAAGUCAUUUGAGGAUUGCCAGCUCCUUUUUUGUCUUUAAACGGCAUGAAUCCCUGCAGCAUAAAACAGAGACAAACGCGGCUACAUCGCUUUCAUCCUCAGUCCAAAUUACCUUUAAAAAGCGUUGGCACCUGGCUGGACCUUUUUCUGUUUUCCCUUUUCGAACACGUUGAAUCACAGUGGAUGUAAUUAGGAUUCUUUUUACUUUGAUCAGUAGAAAAGAAAUGUCGGUCAAAGUGAAAACAAAUCUCUUUUGAAAUGGACCUGAAUUUAUUACAAGUAUAGAAUACAAGAUGUCGUCAAUUCAUUAAUUCUCACCUCUCGAUUUUGAAAGUUAUUUUAAAUCCACAGCCCGAGCUAAAGAGCUGCAUUAAAGUCUCCAAGAACAACAAUCUUGAUUUAUUUUGGUGCCAGAGUCAACACAGCAUCCUCAUUAAGAGAAGUUCAUUUCCCAGAUGAUAAAAAUGUUAUUGGGACAAACAUUUACGUCGCGGUAGGUACAAGAAACUGCAGCCAGCUUCAGGUCAGUCUAGAUAUUUGUAAACCUGCUAACAGUUCAGGUAAUCAAUACUUUUGUGCAGCAUGAAAUGUACAGGGCUUUAGGAGAAAGGGUAACUUGGAUACGACAGAAUGCGUUCAUGUUGCUUGAACAUCACUUGCAUCAGCAUGAAGGAAAGUAGCCCACACAUGCAGUUUGUUUGUGUGUCAGUGUUGGCUCCUCUCGUCGUGUUCGGUGUAGCAGCAUAGCAAGGUUUGAUUUUUGGAGAGUUUGUGACAGCGAAAUGUGUGAAGAGCUAUUCAUGUGUGUUGUCUCAGCCCUGAUUGGCUGUUCAUAACCCACAUUUCUCAGCCCGCUGCUGUCAGCAGGAAAACGGAUCUCAUAUGCACACAUUUAAACACACAAAGGAAGAAAACAGACAUUUUUUUAACGCUUCUUUGAUUGUCCUGCUUGAUGACUUUUAGGUUAUUGCUUCCUCUUUAUUUUAGGUGCUUUUAUAUAGUAGGCGAUGGGGAAGACUGAUGGGGAAUGCAAUUUUUUUUUAAAUAAUUACUCUCAGCUGAUUUGGUAAAAGAUGAAACAAAGCGGAUUUUAUUUAGUUGUUUACAGUUGCUCAGGCUAACUCAUGAGUCACCACUUACAACAUCGGGGCCUCUCGGAAGAGGGUUCACUCCGCUAUUUGGGAGAAAGGUAGUUGUUUACGUGACACCGAUAUUUCAACCCUUCCGUUGUGCAUCGCUGGCCACAAGACACCGGCACUGUCCUCCCAAAGAGUAUUUCCAAAAACAGCAAAACCCUCGGUGCUGCUUUUUGUGCUCGUGUGAGAGCCAUCAAGCAACCACACAGACAAUGGGGUGAGAGAUUUUAUCUGUGGAAACAUCAGCAGAGCAGAGCAGCAGAUAAGAUUUAUGUAUCCAUGGUGAGAAGCGUAGACGCAGGUGCUGAUUGUCCACACACACACACACACACACACACACACACUCGGCUGAUGCUGAACAACCAACUGCAGCCGCAUCAGCAGGUCAAAUGAAUCAAUGAAAAGAUGAAAGCCCCACUCAGCAAUAUUCUAACCCUUUUCAUGUAGUAUUAUUAUUUAUUUUUUAUCUGCUCUCUCGCUCCACCGUCUCUUUGUUGUCCUCACAGGCCAAGUAUCGCAUGUGGCACAAACAAGCCGCGUUGCUCAGUGAACGGCUGCUCGGUAGAUUUGCGGUCGCGAUGGCUCACGCCCCGCGCAUCCGGUCGCGACCUUACGUUCACAAUGACUCCAAUGCCGCCUGAUAUGAGUCAAAUACAAUACGUUGUCCUUCUGGAAUAUCAAAGAUGACCGAGUAGAGCAUUGAUGAAUACGCAAAGAAAAACCACAACACGGUACGUUUUCCUCCGCGCUAUUCAUCCUCCAGCAACUCGACUCGGCUUCAGCGCAGCCUGCGUCCCUGUUUGAUGUGUCUCAUAUGGUGUGAACACACACACGCUGAAUGGAAUGUUCAGCAGAGAUGUUCAAUCUCCUUUUCACAGAUAUGUAUUCAAGACACAGCAUCCUCUCUGAGAACAGCCUGACCGAUGAGGCAUCCCAA